Priapulus caudatus is the source of this 303-nucleotide long non-coding RNA. RefSeq lists it as uncharacterized. The transcript has 3 exons. The record is from RefSeq and is a predicted model, not a curated record. NCBI's taxonomy places the organism in Eukaryota, Metazoa, Priapulida, Priapulimorpha, Priapulimorphida, Priapulidae.
GCAGACCGGUAACCGAGACCAUCGCCAAGGCUCUUCAAAAGACAUCUGAAUUUUCAACUUCUUCCAACCGAAAUCGUAGAAAGGACCAAAACUCCAAAAAUUGUAUACGUUAGCAGGAACCCUAAAGAUACGGCAGUUUCCUUCUAUCACUUCUACAAGGGAUUUGACUUAUCGCCAUUCGGAAUUCACAACGACUUCGCUAACAGCACCUUUCCUGAGUUUUACAAGUACUAUAUGCAAGGAAAAUGUAAUUACGGUGAAUAUUGGCAGCAUCAAGUAGAUUUCUGGGAACGCAGGCACUGG